UCAAUUAAUUUAUAAUAUAAAAAUCAAAUAUACAUCAAAUUCUCCAAGAGUUGCAUAUCACAAACCCACUCAAGUCCAAACGUUCAUACAAUCCCUAAUAACCACUAUUACACAAGAUGAAAUCCAAAACUCAAACCAUACAUGAGAUAAUCCAUCCGGUCACAUAAAUACGUGCUACAAGCACUUCCUUCGUCUCGAACCCUGUGGAGGGGAAUAAAAGUAGUUUUGGGGGUGAGCUAAAAGCUCAGCGAGUAACCAAUAAAAUCGGUAAGCAAAUCAGUUUCACAGUCGUUCAUUUCAGUGAUGUCAUGAUUCUAAAAUCAAAUGUACAUUUAUUGCUCUCGUGAGCCAGUGAAAUUAUUGUACUUAAACACCCAACGCUCCAAACAAACAUUUAACAGUAAACAGUCAGAGGGGGAGCCAUUUGCUCCAGAUGAACAGUACAUAGAGGUGGAGACGUUGGUGUUCAGCACACAAAUUCCAAGUACUCAUUUAAGCCAAACGAUGUCAUGGGCCACAUGCAAGCACUCAUGAUAUGCAAUCAAGUAAAUAGUGCAAGAAACGGUUCAUAAGUAACUUUGGUAACAGUUUAGGGUCACUCACCUCCACGGCUCAGAACCCAUCCGUCAUAUACCAUU
This 638-nucleotide long non-coding RNA is filed under the name Coffea arabica (coffee). RNAcentral describes it as "long non-coding RNA (CARA_LNC000347)". Lineage: Eukaryota; Viridiplantae; Streptophyta; Magnoliopsida; Gentianales; Rubiaceae. The record is from RNAcentral.